GAUGAACGCUGGCGGCGUGCCUAAUACAUGCAAGUCGAGCGAACGGACGAGAAGCUUGCUUCUCUGAUGUUAGCGGCGGACGGGUGAGUAACACGUGGAUAACCUACCUAUAAGACUGGGAUAACUUCGGGAAACCGGAGCUAAUACCGGAUAAUAUUUUGAACCGCAUGGUUCAAAAGUGAAAGACGGUCUUGCUGUCACUUAUAGAUGGAUCCGCGCUGCAUUAGCUAGUUGGUAAGGUAACGGCUUACCAAGGCAACGAUGCAUAGCCGACCUGAGAGGGUGAUCGGCCACACUGGAACUGAGACACGGUCCAGACUCCUACGGGAGGCAGCAGUAGGGAAUCUUCCGCAAUGGGCGAAAGCCUGACGGAGCAACGCCGCGUGAGUGAUGAAGGUCUUCGGAUCGUAAAACUCUGUUAUUAGGGAAGAACAUAUGUGUAAGUAACUGUGCACAUCUUGACGGUACCUAAUCAGAAAGCCACGGCUAACUACGUGCCAGCAGCCGCGGUAAUACGUAGGUGGCAAGCGUUAUCCGGAAUUAUUGGGCGUAAAGCGCGCGUAGGCGGUUUUUUAAGUCUGAUGUGAAAGCCCACGGCUCAACCGUGGAGGGUCAUUGGAAACUGGAAAACUUGAGUGCAGAAGAGGAAAGUGGAAUUCCAUGUGUAGCGGUGAAAUGCGCAGAGAUAUGGAGGAACACCAGUGGCGAAGGCGACUUUCUGGUCUGUAACUGACGCUGAUGUGCGAAAGCGUGGGGAUCAAACAGGAUUAGAUACCCUGGUAGUCCACGCCGUAAACGAUGAGUGCUAAGUGUUAGGGGGUUUCCGCCCCUUAGUGCUGCAGCUAACGCAUUAAGCACUCCGCCUGGGGAGUACGACCGCAAGGUUGAAACUCAAAGGAAUUGACGGGGACCCGCACAAGCGGUGGAGCAUGUGGUUUAAUUCGAAGCAACGCGAAGAACCUUACCAAAUCUUGACAUCCUUUGACAACUCUAGAGAUAGAGCCUUCCUCUUCGGGGGACAAAGUGACAGGUGGUGCAUGGUCGUCGUCAGCUCGUGUCGUGAGAUGUUGGGUUAAGUCCCGCAACGAGCGCAACCCUUAAGCUUAGUUGCCAUCAUUAAGUUGGGCACUCUAAGUUGACUGCCGGUGACAAACCGGAGGAAGGUGGGGAUGACGUCAAAUCAUCAUGCCCCUUAUGAUUUGGGCUACACACGUGCUACAAUGGACAAUACAAAGGGCAGCGAAACCGCGAGGUCAAGCAAAUCCCAUAAAGUUGUUCUCAGUUCGGAUUGUAGUCUGCAACUCGACUACAUGAAGCUGGAAUCGCUAGUAAUCGUAGAUCAGCAUGCUACGGUGAAUACGUUCCCGGGUCU
RNAcentral lists this ribosomal RNA (1372 nucleotides) under uncultured bacterium. RNAcentral describes it as "bacterial SSU rRNA". It matches the Rfam family "Bacterial small subunit ribosomal RNA", at positions 28 to 1381 of the family's 1533-position model. The record is from RNAcentral.